CCUACGGUAGGCAGCAGUGAGGAAUAUUGGUCAAUGGCCGGAAGGCUGAACCAGCCAAUCCGCGUGAGGGAGUAAGGCGCCGCGCGUCGCAGCCCUCUUUUGCCGGGGGACACAAGGCCGGACUCGUCCGGUCCUGAGGGUACCCGGAGAAAAAGCAUCGGCUAACUCCGUGCCAGCCGCCGCGGUACUACGGAGGAUGCGCGCGUUCUCCGGAUUCAUUGGGUUUAAAGGGUGCGCAGGCGGGCCUUUAAGCCGGCGGUGAAAUCGCGGGGCUCAACCCCGCCGAGCCGUCGGAAAUGGGGGCCUUGAGUGCGGCGGAGGCAUGCGGAAUGCGCGGUGUAGCGGGGAAAUGCAUAGAUAUCGCGCAGAACCCCGAUUGCGAAGGCAGCGUGCCGUGCCGCCACUGACGCUGAGGCACGAAAGCGCGGGGAUCGAACAGGAUUAGAUACCCUGGUAGUC
RNAcentral lists this ribosomal RNA (459 nucleotides) under uncultured bacterium. RNAcentral's name for it is "partial 16S ribosomal RNA". It matches the Rfam family "Bacterial small subunit ribosomal RNA", at positions 338 to 795 of the family's 1533-position model. The record is from RNAcentral.